This 484-nucleotide ribosomal RNA is filed under the name uncultured bacterium. RNAcentral's name for it is "bacterial SSU rRNA". It matches the Rfam family "Bacterial small subunit ribosomal RNA", at positions 28 to 526 of the family's 1533-position model. The record is from RNAcentral.
GACGAACGCUGGCGGCGUGCCUAACACAUGCAAGUCGAACGGACGAGAGGAGCUUGCUCCUCGAGUUAGUGGCGAACGGGUGAGUAACGCGUGAGCAACCUGCCUUUCAGAGGGGGACAACGGUUGGAAACGACCGCUAAUACCGCAUGAUGCAUUUUGGUCGCAUGAUCGGGAUGCCAAAGAUUUAUCGCUGAAAGAUGGGCUCGCGUCUGAUUAGAUAGUUGGUGGGGUAACGGCCUACCAAGUCGACGAUCAGUAGCCGGACUGAGAGGUUGAACGGCCACAUUGGGACUGAGAUACGGCCCAGACUCCUACGGGAGGCAGCAGUGGGGAAUAUUGGGCAAUGGGGGAAACCCUGACCCAGCAACGCCGCGUGAAGGAAGAAGGCUUUCGGGUUGUAAACUUCUUUUACCAGGGACGAAGGACGUGACGGUACCUGGAGAAAAAGCCACGGCUAACUACGUGCCAGCCGCCGCCGUAACAC